RNAcentral lists this ribosomal RNA (773 nucleotides) under uncultured bacterium. Its description in RNAcentral is "bacterial SSU rRNA". It matches the Rfam family "Bacterial small subunit ribosomal RNA", at positions 8 to 769 of the family's 1533-position model. The record is from RNAcentral.
AGAGUUUGAUCCUGGCUCAGAUUGAACGCUGGCGGCAUGCCUAACACAUGCAAGUCGAACGGCAGCACAGGCGUAGCAAUACGUUGGGUGGCGAGUGGCGGACGGGUGAGGAAUACAUAGGAAUCUACCCUAUUGUGGGGGAUAACGUAGGGAAACUUACGCUAAUACCGCAUAAGACGGCGACGUGAAAGUGGGGGACCGCAAGGCCUCACGCGAUAGGAUGAGCCUAUGUCCGAUUAGCUAGUUGGCGGGGUAAGAGCCCACCAAGGCGACGAUCGGUAGCUGGUCUGAGAGGAUGAUCAGCCACACUGGAACUGAGACACGGUCCAGACUCCUACGGGAGGCAGCAGUGGGGAAUAUUGGACAAUGGGCGCAAGCCUGAUCCAGCAAUGCCGCGUGUGUGAAGAAGGCCUUCGGGUUGUAAAGCACUUUUGUACGGGAAGAAAGCGAGCGGAUUAAUACUUCGUUCGGAUGACGGUACCGUAAGAAUAAGCACCGGCUAACUUCGUGCCAGCAGCCGCGGUAAUACGAAGGGUGCAAGCGUUAAUCGGAAUUACUGGGCGUAAAGCGUGCGUAGGCGGUUUGUUAAGUCCGAUGUGAAAGCCCUGGGCUCAACCUGGGAAUGGCAUUGGAAACUGGCGAGCUAGAGUAAGGUAGAGGAGUGCGGAAUUCCUGGUGUAGCGGUGAAAUGCGUAGAGAUCAGGAGGAACAUCCGUGGCGAAAGGCGGCACUCUGGACCAUUACUGACGCUGAGGCACGAAAGCGUGGGGAGC